Long non-coding RNA from Canis lupus familiaris (dog), 2933 nucleotides. RefSeq lists it as uncharacterized. The transcript has 6 exons. The record is from RefSeq and is a predicted model, not a curated record. NCBI's taxonomy places the organism in Eukaryota, Metazoa, Chordata, Mammalia, Carnivora, Canidae.
UCCGACAAGACGGGGUUGGGGAGAGAAACCUGUUGUUUGCCUUGAGGAUGUGAGCCCCGGUCCCCGGGCGUUAAGGGGCGGUGGGGGGCGGUGUCCCCACCUGGGCCGACAUUCCUUCCCACCCGGGGUUGGUGCCAGGUCUACCCUUUCAAGCCAACGAAGCUGCGAGCCCGACCGUCGCGCACACGCAGGCCCCGCCUUCCUGCGAGCGGCCCCGCACUCCCCGCUCCGCGAUCCCGGUCCCGGCCCCGGUCCCCGCGGACGCGGCGUAACUGCGGCCCCGGGGCGCGAGCGGCGCAGACACGGAUGAUCCCGUCGGUCGCACCUGGCUGAGCAUCUUCCGGCUGGUUGUUUGGUUUGCGGGAAACGAUCUCCCCAUUCAACUGACUUAGAGCCGGGUCGGCAGGACCCCGUCCGCCCCGGCCGUGCAGUCACCUGUUUCGCUCCGCACAGCGCCGUCGCCGCCCCUGUGGCUGUCGCCGCCAGCUCCUAGCUCCGCCAUGGUGCUCCGAUGACGCGCCGGGAGAGCCGCUCCGCCCUCUUCCUCGGCCCCGCUCCCGCCAGGCCCCCGCCUCCAGGGCCCGCGGCCCAGACAGGGCGUCUAUAAUGUCUGGAGCCGGGCAGCCCCGGUGGCUCAGUGGUUUAGCGCCACCUUCAGCCCACGGCAUGAUCCUGGAGACCCAGGAUCGAGUCCCCAUGUCAGGCUCCCUGUAUGGAGCCUGCUUCAAACUUUUCUUGACCCCCACCCCACCCCUUGGCAGUCAGAUGUAACUAGAGCACUUACUACAUGUACCGUUGUUUCUGCUUUGUCUCCAUUCCACCUCUGACAGUCAACUUUUGGGGGCAAGAACUGUGUCUUCAUGUACCACAAUAUGUAGUACCCGGUUACGAGAGGCAGCUAUCUGUCCUUGAGAUUGGGAUAUAAAAAAAGAUGCAGCUAUGUUGUUGCAAGUAGCAAAUGAGAAAAUCAGUGAUGCACAAUCACAUGAAAUGUUGUAUCUGUUUCGUGUAAAAGAGACAUUUGGCCGAAGUGCAACAGCUGCUAAGAUUCUCCCUCCCCUGCGAAGAUCAGUUCUGUCUGUUAUAAUCUCCAAGGAAGGCUGGAAACAAACUAAGCGAUACAGUCAAGCCUGUGUGUCUCGAAAGUCGGUGAUGGCCUUCCACAGUGUGCAGAGCAUCCCUCCCCUGUUUAAAGACACAACAUAGGGAAGAGAACACUUCAUUUGAAACAUCGCCUUUGAUAUAUAAAAGUGACUUCUUAGCCUCUAGCUGCUCUGAUAGAACACGAAGAUCUCAAAGUCUUAUUGGUCCUCACUGUAUUCUUUCUAUGUUUUGGCAUCACCCCUCCCUGCCUUUCCUUUCUACUCCCACAAACUACCAGGUCCCAAAGCAUCCUUUCGUUUUUUCAGCACAUUUGAGAUGUGUUUUUACAGAGGUCUGUGUGAGUCUGUUAUGCAUAUGCUUGGCCUGCUAGAAAAAUUAUCGUAAGAAACUGUAUCAGGUUACAUAUGGUUCAUGGAUGGCAAAUCAGCACCUAUCCUAAUAUCUGGAUAUUUGGAUUGUAUGGUAUAACCAUAAAUUAGAGCAUUUGUUUAAGGCAGCUUUAAAAUGACUGCAUGGUCUCAGUCUACUAUAUUAUCAAAAAUUCUUUAGUUAAUUUUCAUUUACUAAUAUAGAAAAAUUAUUGGUUAUAAGAAUGCCUAGUAAUAUAGCCUGGUCCAACAAACUCAGUUUACUAAGUAAAUGAGAACCAGAGAGUGGCGCCCAGGACUGCUGAGAUGGUUAGGGGUGGUGAGGGGCCCAACCAGGGCAGGAACCCAGACUUCUCAGCCUAGCAUUCUUUGCACCAUAAACAAGAAACAGAAAGAAAAGUGGUACCUUAGUCUCAGGCAUUUUAAAUCAUCACGUGUAACAUAGUAGAGAACAUCCUCUAGUGAAUAAUCCUCAGCCAAAAACUGUGGAGAAAGUAAAAUAUGCAUAAAAAUAAGAUGUUUCAUACACCUAUAAUAAAUAAUAAACUCUAUCCAUAAUACAAACAUGGGCAGUAAUUUAAAAAUGAAUCUAAAAGGAAAUCUACUAAAAACACAAUCUUCCGGAAUUAUUAGGAAAAAGUCCCCCCUGUUAAAAAAUAACUACAAAGAAAUACAUCCAUAUGACUUCCAAAUGUGUAAAGAUUACAAGCAACACAAUUUCUGAAUGGCCUUCUAAUGAAUAGAUAAAACUCAUUUGUAAUUACAUGUCCCGCUCAUAAGAUAAUGUUUGUAUUUUAGAGGUUUUUUGCUUUAUUUUCCUCAAAUGGAUAAAAAGUGUUCCUGGAAAGGUAUUGUGUAAAUUUAAUUUCUCAAUUUAUUUUUCGUAACUCUUAAAAGGUUCUUUUUAGUAAUUACUAUAAAAUCAGAGUCCUGAAUUUAAACCGAAGCGUUAAUAUUAAUUUAUUUUUAAAGGCAGUGAUUUAGUUGAUCAAUUACUACUCCUUAAUUAUGAAUUGAUCUUAGGUCGAGGAAUAAAUAUUUUGGAGAACUUGAAUGGAUGCAUCUCUCCAUAAGCAAGAGUUGUUUAAAUUUACGUAGCAGUAACUUGUUCAAUGCAGAUUUCUAAAUUUUAUUUAGCAGUCCAAUGAAUCAUCAAAGAGAAAAACAUCUUUAUUCUUAGUUAUUUAAAAAUUUUAAACAUAAAACUAAAGUUAAUGUAAUAUUGUACUGGGGCCUUUUCUAUAAAAUAGUAAAAAAUAUAACCUCUUAUUGUGGGUAUGUGUGUAUACAUGUAUGUCAUCUUGAAAUAGAAGUGCUACUCAUGCUGAUUAUCAAAGUCUGUAAGGAGCAGAGAGGAAUUAGGUUAUUAUAGAAAGUGUUUGUUCCUGACAGAAGUUGACUGACUAGAUCUAUUUUAUUAAGUAUCAAUAAACAGUCACUGGGGUGCCUGGGUGGCUCAGU